Non-coding RNA from Punica granatum (pomegranate), 1455 nucleotides. The record is from RefSeq and is a predicted model, not a curated record. NCBI's taxonomy places the organism in Eukaryota, Viridiplantae, Streptophyta, Magnoliopsida, Myrtales, Lythraceae.
AUUCGCCCGAGUUGCAGUUAUUCGUUGUAAAGGGGAGGAUGAGUAGAUACGGUCGAGAGGCACAGAGAAAGGGAGAGAAUAGACGCACCUUUCGACCGUCUCCUUCGAUCUCUGCUCCAUCGCCUCUCCGUCGUCUCGCCGAUCAACUCUCAAGGUAGUUCGACAUGAUCUGCUGAUCGGUACUGUGAGGGAGUGAUGGACUUUUAGCAGGAUUAGCUUGACAUAUCCGCAGAGACCAUCCUGUAAAAUCAUGGCACGAGAUCUGCAGUUAUAUCCUCUAUAGCCUUCAUCCCUUGAUCAGUACCUUACGGCUGUGGCUAUGUGGAAGUUCACUUCCAAUGUCAUCUCAAGCAUCAGACUGAAGAAAAACUCCGGCAAACCCAGUCGUGCGUGUUCGGAGUGCUCAGAUGAUGAGAAUUCCUCAAGUCUUAGCCGGGAGGAAGGCUUGGAAUGCCCAAUCUGCUGGGAAUCUUUCAACAUUGUCGAGAACGUUCCUUACGUGUUAUGGUGUGGGCACACGCUCUGUAAAAACUGCGUCCUCGGCCUUCAGAUGGCCGUCUUGAAUUUCCCAUCUAAGCAGAUCAAGAUCCCCUUCCUCAUUUCCUGCCCGUGGUGCCACUUAUUGUCACUUCGACUUGUUUAUGGUGGCAACCUGAGGUUUCCCAGGAAGAACUUCUUCCUUCUCUGGAUGGUCGAGAGCUUGAAUGGAGAAAGGGAGAGGUUUCUCUCUGCCUCAUGUCAGGACACUCAAUUGGUUUCGUCUCCAAGAAAUCAUUUAGCUCUUGGAAGCCAGGCAGGCGUGGGAAGCCCCAGGAGGCUUCCAACCCCGCGAAGUUCGGGACAACCCUGGCCGCACAUUGAACUUGUUCCCAGCAAUGUGGUGGCCCGCCAAGCUUCUUUGACGAAAUCCAUUGAUUUAUUCAUUAAUUUCAUGUCAAAGUUCCCAAUGGUUAUCAUAUUCCUCCUUAUUCUAUUCUUUGCAGUUCCUGGAUGUGCUCUCAUCCUGGUCAUCUAUGUUUUGCUGACAGUUCUAUUUGCAAUCCCGUCAUUCUUGGUGUUAUACUUUGCAUACCCUGUGUUAGGAUGGCUGGUGAAAGAGAUAACUUCUUAAGAUGUCAGUGCCAGAUCUGGAAGCCCGGGAAACUGCUUAAUCUGACGACAUUUCGGAUGAUCAAGAUCCAGUGAUCAUGGUGGAUUUCUCUUGACAUUCUUUCCCUCUCUGCUUAGAUCGUAUGAUGAAGUACAGAAGAAAAGGGAAAUGGAUUUAGCUUUUUGCAGAUGACAGUGUUUGGAUUCAUCUGUUGCUGCAAUGUUUUUAACCAUGUUCUCCCCUUAGAGAGUGUUUCCAGUUGAACUUACGUGAAAUGUAUAGAGCAAUUCGUGAUAUUGAUUAUCUUGCAAACUGUACAAAGACCGCUUGGGUUAAACUCACUGAAACAUAACUUCGACGAGUAA